AAAUCUUUAUGCAGGUUGUUUCUCAAACCCAUUGAACAUAAUGAUCGGACGUCAUCUCCCAAUUUUGAAUUCCCUGUAUUCGAAGCGGACGAAGAUGAUGUUGAAGGGAUUCCUGACGGUAUUUCCCGACUUCUUGAGCAAGAAAAGAAGAUCACACUCAGCUGCAUCCCGAGAAUCAACAGAACAGCCAACUGGGGCAUCAAAAAAAGAAGAAGGAAAAAAAAAGAGAAAAGAGAAAAAGGAGGGUGCAAAAAAAAAAUCAAAACAAAUCAAAAGAAAUCAAAAGAAAGAAAAAGAAAGAAAAAAACAAAAGAGAAAUAGCACCCUC
Molecule: long non-coding RNA, 328 nt
Filed under: Lathyrus oleraceus (garden pea)
Lineage: Eukaryota; Viridiplantae; Streptophyta; Magnoliopsida; Fabales; Fabaceae
Description: Pisum sativum (pea) long non-coding RNA (PSAT_LNC041560)
Source: RNAcentral